RNAcentral lists this ribosomal RNA (428 nucleotides) under Chloroflexota bacterium. RNAcentral's name for it is "Chloroflexi bacterium partial 16S ribosomal RNA". It matches the Rfam family "Bacterial small subunit ribosomal RNA", at positions 355 to 776 of the family's 1533-position model. Lineage: Bacteria; Bacillati; Chloroflexota. The record is from RNAcentral.
UGGGGAAUAUUGCACAAUGGGCGCAAGCCUGAUGCAGCCAUGCCGCGUGUGUGAAGAAGGCCUUCGGGUUGUAAAGCACUUUCAGGGGGAGGAAGGCGAUAAGGUUAAUAACCUUGUCGAUUGACGUUACCCGCAGAAGAAGCACCGGCUAACUCCGUGCCAGCAGCCGCGGUAAUACGGAGGGUGCAAGCGUUAAUCGGAAUUACUGGGCGUAAAGCGCACGCAGGCGGUCUGUCAAGUCGGAUGUGAAAUCCCCGGGCUCAACCUGGGAACUGCAUUCGAAACUGGCAGGCUAGAGUCUUGUAGAGGGGGGUAGAAUUCCAGGUGUAGCGGUGAAAUGCGUAGAGAUCUGGAGGAAUACCGGUGGCGAAGGCGGCCCCCUGGACAAAGACUGACGCUCAGGUGCGAAAGCGUGGGGAGCAAACAGG